Molecule: long non-coding RNA, 3979 nt
Filed under: Fragaria vesca (wild strawberry)
Lineage: Eukaryota; Viridiplantae; Streptophyta; Magnoliopsida; Rosales; Rosaceae
Description: long non-coding RNA (FVES_LNC002071)
Source: RNAcentral
CAAGGAUGUCUUGGCCUGUGUUCAUGAUGGUUGUGAACCAACCACCUUAGCUAUAUGAUAUUGAACAAUGUACAUGUUCAAGAGCAUAAAUUAAUAAUUCAUUGAAGCAACAAAGUUGUAGUCUUGUAGACAGUAGGUUUACAAGUUAUAACAACGAGGAUAGAUGUACUUCAUGGAAAUCUGAUCGCCACGCAAGUAAACCAUUCUAUUCUCUACAUCUCCUCAUGCCAAGGCCACAGAAGCUGCAAAGCUUACUAUGAUACCUUUAAUGGUGGACAACAUGGUGAUAGGAGGCAGAGAGAAGCACCAAGAAUCAACGCGAUAGCUCAUAGUUGACACGUACGGUAAGCUCUAGAUAUUUUCCCAAAAUGUGGUUCGUAGUAUUGUUCAUAGCCUUGAGGUUUUGUUUGCCCUAACCUAUAUUUAGUUGCAUGUAACCAUUUCCAAUUUUGCAUCGCCAAAAUGCCAAAAUGGAAAUAAUAGAACUUUUGCCAAAGCACCUCUAUCACUCCUCCUCCUUUUAGCUUUAAUUUCCUCGUCAGGUUUAGUGAUGCAUAAGAUUUAUAAUUAAGAAGUAAAAUGAAGAAUAAAAGAAAAUCGAAAGGGUUCUUGUUUGUUAAUACACGCAUGUAACAUGACUAAGUAAAAAAAUAUACAGUUCCAGAAAAAAGCUAGCUUGAAGAGAACACUCCUUGUGCCUGAGGCCAACUAUAAAUCCGGCCGAGACUUCAGAGCUGAUAAACACAUCUGAGGUUUAUCGGUUGGUAAAACCUACUACUAUGGCCUUCUUCUUCUUCCUCCUCAAAGUUGCAGUGCUAGCUCAUUUCACAGUAGCUCAUAAUAUCAAGCAGAAUCUGCAUGCAGGUGGUGGUGAUGGGGUGCAGCCACUUUCCAAGAUUCAAAUCCUAAGAGCUGUUUCUCAGCUCCACGAAAAUGCUUCCGUUUCUGCGUACCCUGUCCUCCUUGGCGCCAAGGUACAUUGAUAUUUCGUCCAACUAACUAUUAGUUUGGUAACAUUUAUUUUCCAAUAGUUAAAUAACUCGUGUUUCGUGAAUCAAAACUAUAUGUUACUUCUUUUUUUCUUUUUUUUGCGGAAAUACUCGUUGCAUAUAUGCAUGUUGAGUUAGUCCAAUCAAGAAAGACACAACACUUUUGACAUUUAUAAACUCUAAAGUAAAGACACAAACAUGUGACACUGCUAGGCUCACCGAAUUUGUUCAUGUGAGUUUUACUAACAUAUGUUUUUACUGUAUGUGCAGGGGGGAAGAUUUUGGGUGGGUAACAGUGACAGUUUCUUGUCCUAAUCCUGCACAAGAUGAUUGGGUUGCAGUUUUUUCUCCUGCAGAUUUUAAGUAAUGUCGAUUCUUGCAAGUUUCUGGUUUUAACUGCUAUGUAUUUUUAAGCUAAAAUUUUCAAUCUAAUGGCUAGUGGAUCCACCUGUCCAAACAAUGAAGACGUCAAUAAGUACUAUGAGCCCUAUAUUUGCACAUCGCCUAUUAAGGUAACUGUUAUGUGCUUAUUGGAAUGUAUUGCACCUCAUGUGUUCGACGUAAUGUCCCACUGAACUCUUGGUGUUUUGAUUUCAGUACAAGUUUGCCAAUUAUUCCAGUGCUGAUUACGCAACCACUAGUAACUCAACUUUGUACUUUCGACUGAUCAAUCAACGGGCAGACUUUUCGUUUGCAUUGUUCUCUGGCGGGCUGUCAAAUGUGUGUUUGUGUCUCUCCUCUAUCAGCUGAUAUUAAUGCCUCUAACCCGAUGGCAAUUCAAUUGUUGGCUAACAUAUGUAUUCGUUGUAAUGCAGCCGAGAUUAGUGGCAGUUUCGAAUAAGGUGACCUUCGCCUACCCAAAGGCUCCCCUGUACCCACGUCUUGCUCUAGGGAACCUUUGGGAUGAAGUAAGUUCAUGUUACUAUGCGCUAGUUCUUUUAUUUCCAUUCACAUAAUCAGAAUGCGGACUCCUAGUUGUAGAGUCUUCUCAUGCUCAAGUUAUGUAUGAUUUUUUAUUUUGCAGAUGACAGUGACUUGGACAAGCGGCUAUAACAUCGAUGAAGCUGUACCUUUAGUUGCGUGGGGUUUAAAGGGGGAGCCUCGAAUGCACAACUCUCCGGCAGGAACAUUGACUUUCAGUAGACGGGACAUGUGUGGUAUGAAUUAUAUGAUCAAUCUAGUCACUUACAUAAAUAACUGAAUGAGAAAACAUAUAGUAAGACAGCUCUUGUAAAUUUUUCCCAGCUGCACCUGCACGAACAGUUGGUUGGCGUGAUCCUGGUGUCAUCCAUACAAGUUUUCUAAAAGAUUUAUGGCCAAAUUAUGCAUCUUGAAUAUAAGAUUCCUCUUGUAUAUAACACCCAUUGCUGUUCCGUUAUUAAGACUGUUAUGCUGGUUUUCUGUGCAGGUACUCUUACAAGCUUGGUCAUCGGUUAUCUAAUGGGUCCUAUAUCUGGAGCAAGAUUUACUCUUUCAAGUCAGCACCAUAUCCAGGGCAGGAGUCAUUGCAUCGAGUUAUCAUAUUUGGUGACAUGGGAAAGGUAAGAUCAAGAAGAUGAAAUCUACUUGAUUCUACCACUAUACACUUGUCACACAGCAUUAUGUUACCUUUCUGAAAAUACAGCCGCCUAAAUUGUUAUGCUUUACUUUUCCUCCUACCAAUUUCAGGCUGAGCGUGAUGGUUCAAAUGAAUAUGCUGAUUAUCAGCCCGGCUCACUUAUCACCACAGAUCGGCUAAUCAAGGAUUUGGACAACUUUGACAUAGUUUUUCACAUAGGAGAUAUGCCUUAUGCCAAUGGAUACAUAUCACAAUGGGAUCAGUUCACAUCACAGGUGGAGCCGAUUGCAUCAGUUGUACCAUAUAUGGUUGCGAGGUUUGUAUUCUUGUUACUUCAAUCCUAACUACUGCCGACUGUGGGCACAUGCACAACAGUUUACUGUAUAAGCUACAUGUCUCUGAAACUUACAUCAAGUUAACAACAGUGGCAACCAUGAACGAGAUACAACAGGGACUGGAUCCUUCUACGACACUAAUGAUUCAGGUGGUGAAUGUGGUGUGCCAGCUGAAACCAUGUAUUAUGUUCCUGCUGAGAACAGAGCUAAAUUCUGGUAAUUAAUAACAACAAUACUUUUAUAUUAUGCACAUCUAUGUCUAGUCAAACAUUUAUGAGCAAUUGCUCAUUCUUGGUUAGUUUGGCUUAAUGUUUUAAUUCUCUUAUUUUUUUUUUUACAGGUAUGCAACAGAUUAUGGAAUGUUCCACUUCUGUAUAGCUGACACUGAGCAUGACUGGAGAGAAGGUUCCGAGCAGUACAAAUUUAUUGAGAAAUGCUUUGCAUCUGCUAACAGACACAAGCAGCCUUGGCUGAUAUUUGCUGUUCAUCGUGUUCUCGGUUAUUCCUCUGACACUUGGUAUGUAGAUGAGGGUUCAUUUGAAGAGGCGAUGGGAAGGGAUGACAUGCAAAAGCUUUGGCAAAGAUACAAUGUGGACAUUGCAUUUUACGGCCAUGUCCAUAACUACGAAAGAAUAUGCCCCAUCUAUCAGAACCAGUGUGUAAAUUCAGAAAUAUUCAACUAUUCAGGAACUGUCAACGGAACAAUCCAUGUUGUUGUUGGUGGCGGAGGCAGCCAGUUAUCAGAUUUUAGUACCCUGAAGACAGUUUGGAGCAUCUACCAAGAUCUAGACUUUGGUUAUACGAAACUCACAGCGUAUAACCACUCAUCGCUGCUCUUCGAGUACAUGAAGAGCAGGGGUGGGAAGGUCUAUGAUUCAUUAGCCAUCUCCAGGGACUACAAGGAUGUCUUGGCCUGUGUUCAUGAUGGUUGUGAACCAACCACCUUAGCUACAUGAUAUCAUCAACAAUGUAUGUGUUCAAAAUCUGAUUGUCACGCAUUUAUUUGCUUUCAGAUCAGAAAAACAAUAAGAAAAGAAUAAUUGUUUGCUGUGCUUGUCUUACUUUAUACCCACGUGGAAAGAAAAAAUUACAGACAC